UUAAUAUGCUUAUGAUAUAAUAAGGCUGCUCAACUUCUCGCUAUUACAUGCACUGACCACCAGGGGGCAGACUCUCUAACCAGUAGGUUAGCUUGUUGCUGG
Molecule: long non-coding RNA, 102 nt
Organism: Myotis davidii
Lineage: Eukaryota; Metazoa; Chordata; Mammalia; Chiroptera; Vespertilionidae
Exons: 3
Source: RefSeq, a predicted model, not a curated record